GAUGAACGCUGGCGGUAUGCUUAACACAUGCAAGUCGAACGGACUCUUCGGAGUUAGUGGCGGACGGGUGAGUAACGCGUGAGAAUCUGGCUUUGGGUUCGGGACAACCACUGGAAACGGUGGCUAAUACCGGAUGUGCCGAGAGGUAAAAGAGAAAUUGCCUGAAGAUGAGCUCGCGUCUGAUUAGCUAGUUGGUGAGGUAAAGGCUCACCAAGGCAGCGAUCAGUAGCUGGUCUGAGAGGAUGACCAGCCACACUGGGACUGAGACACGGCCCAGACUCCUACGGGAGGCAGCAGUGAGGAAUUUUCCGCAAUGGGCGAAAGACUGACGGAGCAAUACCGCGUGAGGGAAGAAGGCUCUUGGGUUGUAAACCUCUUUUCUUAGGGAAGAACAAAAUGACGGUACCUAAGGAAUCAGCAUCGGCUAACUCCGUG
Molecule: ribosomal RNA, 435 nt
Filed under: uncultured bacterium
Lineage: Bacteria
Description: partial 16S ribosomal RNA
Rfam family: Bacterial small subunit ribosomal RNA
Source: RNAcentral